AUUUUUUUGCUGGACAAUCUUGAUCUGGGCAUCUUUAACAAGGCACACAAUGUGCUCCCCAGGAUAAGCGACUUCGACCCUAAAUCGUUUAGUCGAAUGCUGACCAUGGUCCUCGAUCCUGUCAAAGGAUCUAAUUCCUACUCGCAUGCUAAUGUAGCACAACCCCCUUUUACUCCUGUGAUCAUUAUCUGUAUUUUUUUCUUGUUGCAUCAUGUGAAAUUUCUUGUCUCUGCCAAUGCAAUACAGUUUAAUUCUCGUACUCACGCUAGGUCUCCCCUUUACGGUUGUUGUCUUUUUGCUAGAUAAGAGAUGCUUCGACCGUAUGCUACACACGGUAGAAGUACCAGUCUCAGGCCUCGUCAUCGAUACUCAAGAGGCAGCCUAGGCUCUCCGGCACGCCAGCGGCUGCUCAGCAGCGGAACACCAGUCCCCCAACAGCCAUUGGUGCAGUUCCUGGUCCACUAGAAUUUGCUAAAUACCUUCGGGAGAAGUACCCACACCUUGUAACUGGAGAUCACCAUGGUAUUAAAACAACACAAGGCGAGCGCCAUUAUGCACUUAACGAAAGCUAGGAACUCCAUCCAGCAGGCUCUGUUAGAAGCGAAAAAUGGGUUGCAGAUGGAUAUGUACAAGUUAUCAGAUAAAGUAAUCAAUUCAGUCGCCACACGAUGUGUGUGCUGUCGCGUGAGGGGCUUUAAUGAUUGCCCUGCAUCAGGUACAUAUCCCCCUUUACAUCAUCCGCUAAUUCCAAGUCAGUACGCUUUAACACGCCAGCUGUACAAAGGAUACAUGGUCGAAGGCUUGAAUUGUUAGAUAACGAAGCUACAUCACCUGGUCCCAACCGGAAACGCCCCCACAACAUCGACGAUUGCACAUCUGUCAGCAAGAAGUCCUCAUCAGGAGCAUCGGGCGGUCUACUCAAUUUUUUCAAGACAAACCUAAUGGCAAUAGCUCAACUCUAUGCGGAUCUCCCAGCCAACACACCCGCUACUGUAUUUGGCCAAUGUUGCACCAACUUACAGAAGCGGAAGUAUGUAUUCCAGCAUGGUUUUGCAACUGAUCCAUGGGGAAAGGGAGUUGUGCCACACCCCCCGCAUGGCCCAACCACGGACCUCCUUGCUGCCCAUUUAUCGAAGCUGCCUGAACAAGAUCUUCAGAGGAUCUACAUUAUUCACGCCAGUCCUAGGUUUAUACGCACCUCUGGGUUGGCUAUCAGUCAGCAGUUAGUUGGCACGCGGGGUCUCCACCACGAGCUCAUGUCUAUCAUCAUGCGAAGGUAUACACAGUCUGAUCAGGAAGCCAAUUCCGAAUGCCCAUACAUGAAAUGGAGGCACAACAUGGAACCUGACUUCGCGAAAAUUGUCCUAGCGGACCAUGAAUAUGUGACAAAACAUAUCCAUCCAGAACCAGCUCGUUGGCAAGGAUAUCCCGUACGACAUAACUUCCUGUAUGUUUUUCUUACCAGUCCCGCUGGAGGAUGGCUGGAUAGCACUGAUGUGGGACAUGAUGGAGAGGAAGCUCCAUGUCCUUCACCCACUCAUCAAAGGUGAUGGUCCUAGCGAACCAACGAAAGACAAGCUCGAGCUGGUUGCCUGGAAACUUCACCACGCGCUGUUCGACUGCCUUAAUGAGUAUUAUGCUGGAUGGCCCACGCAAGAUGGCCAGUGGGUGACCAAGUACCCAGUCUUAGCUGAAGAAAAUUUUAGCAGAGAUGAAACUGGCGCGUGUGUGCUCCAUAUCUGCCGACACUAUGAUGGCGUCAAUCUGAAGAUUCCCCUUACCAAGAUAGUUCUGAACUGCUUGCUGGAAACGAGAGGUUGAACCACCAGCUCCAGAUGGCAACAUCUUGGAGGCAAUUACCAGCACCAUCACGACGGAAUGAAGGUCCAGGACGGCAGUUUGUUUGCACGUCCAAGGCUCGCGGACGAGGUGUGACAUGCGGUCCAAGCUCUCUUGCAUCACCACGCUCGGUUGCAUGCUCACCGGCUUCCACACUGGAGGUUGAUCGUCACCACCAUCUACAGAAAGAAAAAGAAACAGGCGCAUAAGGACAGCACGCCUGACAUGGAACUCGGCUGGGCAGAAUUUUUUCUUUGAUUCCGCACAAGCAUUUUACCUCUGCCAUCACGAUGAAAGGAAGGUGCAGAACGACAUGAUGUCUGAACAUCUAGUGCGUGCGGACGGGUCGCAUGCUGGACUCGGUCAAGAAGUUCUUGUCUGCUGGGACGGGCAUCUUCUCAGUAUUCAGUGCCACGCCAACCCAAUAAGAUUGGCCCAUUGGGAGGAGGGUCUUCAUCUUCAUCAUCUCCCGGCCUUGCGCUCCCAACCACAUCGUUGCUGGAAAAAAGAGUAAAGAGGAAUCCACCAGGCUCGCCGACUACAUCAUGCCAGUCUUCAUCCAGAUGAUCGAAUUCAUCCUGGGGUUUUGUCUGUUCAUGAAGAAAGGAAAGUUUCUUUGUGAAAUGGCACAUGUGUUGCUAGAUGGCAACCUGACUAAGAAAUAUCUUUUUGUUACUCAUGUGGAAAAGGAUUUGUUUCCUUACGGGGAAUAUGCCUGGGUACUCCCUGAUGAGAAAAAUAAGCCUCCUGCAUAUCUCUCCUGUGUAAACGCUGAUCCGUGGGACUGUGUGCUGUUCUACGUUAUAUACCCCGAAGUCAAUCCAGUCGAAGAACCAUGGCUGUCAGAUAUGCAAACAACACAGGAAUCAAAAUUCAGAUGUUAGAUCAAGAAUUAGGCGCCACAAACCACGAAAGGAAAAAUAUAGAAACAUCUUAUUUUUUAUGUAAAUGUUACUUACAAGCAGUCCCAAGUGGCUGCCUCCUAUUCAUUAUUGAGGAAAUCGUUAACUGGUA
Triticum dicoccoides is the source of this 2853-nucleotide RNA transcript. RefSeq lists it as uncharacterized. The record is from RefSeq and is a predicted model, not a curated record. The transcript is spliced from 12 exons. Lineage: Eukaryota; Viridiplantae; Streptophyta; Magnoliopsida; Poales; Poaceae.